GACGUAGGGCGCGAGCGUUGUCCGGAUUUAUUGGGCGUAAAGAGCUCGUAGGCGGUGUGUCGCGUCGGCCGUGAAAACCUGCAGCUUAACUGUGGGCUUGCGGUCGAUACGGGCAUCACUGGAGUUCGGCAGGGGAGACUGGAAUUCCUGGUGUAGCGGUGAAAUGCGCAGAUAUCAGGAGGAACACCGGUGGCGAAGGCGGGUCUCUGGGCCGAUACUGACGCUGAGGAGCGAAAGCGUGGGGAGCGAACAGG
RNAcentral lists this ribosomal RNA (254 nucleotides) under uncultured bacterium. Its description in RNAcentral is "partial 16S ribosomal RNA". It matches the Rfam family "Bacterial small subunit ribosomal RNA", at positions 524 to 776 of the family's 1533-position model. The record is from RNAcentral.